GGACGAUUAGCUCAAUGGCAGAGCGUUCGCUUGACGUGCGAAAGGUUACAGGUUCAAAUCCUGUAUCGUCCA
This is a transfer RNA of 72 nucleotides. It matches the Rfam family "tRNA". Rfam says of the family: Transfer RNA (tRNA) molecules are approximately 80 nucleotides in length. Their secondary structure includes four short double-helical elements and three loops (D, anti-codon, and T loops).